This 459-nucleotide ribosomal RNA is filed under the name uncultured bacterium. RNAcentral describes it as "bacterial SSU rRNA". It matches the Rfam family "Bacterial small subunit ribosomal RNA", at positions 28 to 507 of the family's 1533-position model. The record is from RNAcentral.
GACGAACGCUGGCGGCGUGCUUAACACAUGCAAGUCGAACGGUGAACCGCUUUCGGGUGGGGAUCAGUGGCGAACGGGUGAGUAACACGUGGGCAAUCUGCCCUGCACUCUGGGAUAAGCCCGGGAAACUGGGUCUAAUACCGGAUAAUACUUUCCGCCGCAUGGUGGGGGGUUGAAAGUUCCGGCGGUGCAGGAUGAGUCCGCGGCCUAUCAGCUUGUUGGUGGGGUAGUGGCCUACCAAGGCGACGACGGGUAGCCGGCCUGAGAGGGCGACCGGCCACAUUGGGACUGAGACACGGCCCAGACUCCUACGGGAGGCAGCAGUGGGGAAUAUUGCACAAUGGGGGAAACCCUGAUGCAGCGACGCCGCGUGAAGGAUGAAGGUCUUCGGAUCGUAAACUUUUGUCUUCAGGGACGAUAAUGACGGUACCUGAGGAGGAAGCCACGGCUAACUACGUG